CCUACGGGUGGCAGCAGUAGGGAAUAUUGCUCAAUGGGGGCAACCCUGAAGCAGCAACGCCGCGUGGAGGAUGAAGGUUUUCGGAUUGUAAACUCCUUUUGUUAAAGAAGAUAAUGACGGUAUCUAACGAAUAAGCACCGGCUAACUCCGUGCCAGCAGCCGCGGUAAUACGGAGGGUGCAAGCGUUACUCGGAUUCACUGGGCGUAAAGAGCGCGUAGGCGGGAUAGCAAGUCAGAUGUGAAAUCCUAUGGCUUAACCAUAGAACUGCAUUUGAAACUGUUAUUCUAGAGUAUGGGAGAGGUAGGUGGAAUUCUUGGUGUAGCGGUAAAAUGCGUAGAGAUCAAGAGGAAUACUCAUUGCGAAGGCGACCUGCUAGAACAUAACUGACGCUGAUGCGCGAAAGUGUGGGGAGCAAACAGGAUUAGAUACCCCAGUAGUC
This 440-nucleotide ribosomal RNA is filed under the name uncultured bacterium. Its description in RNAcentral is "partial 16S ribosomal RNA". It matches the Rfam family "Bacterial small subunit ribosomal RNA", at positions 338 to 795 of the family's 1533-position model. The record is from RNAcentral.